CAAUAGCGUAUAUUUAAGUUGUUGCAGUUAAAAAGCUCGUAGUCGGAUUUUGGCUGAGAACGAACGGUCCGCCGUUAGGUGCGCACUGUUUGGUCUCAGCUUCCUGGUGAGGAGGUGUGCUUCACGGCCACUUAGUCACCGUGGUUACUUUGAAAAAAUUAGAGUGUUCAAAGCGGGCUUACGCUUGAAUAUAUUAGCAUGGAAUAACACCAUAGGACUCCUGUCCUAUUUCGUUGGUCUCGGGACGGGAGUAAUGAUUAAGAGGAACAGUUGGGGGCAUUCGUAUUUCAUUGUCAGAGGUGAAAUUCUUGGAUUUAUGAAAGACGAACUUCUGCGAAAGCAUUUGCCAAGGAUGUUUUCAUUGA
This 365-nucleotide ribosomal RNA is filed under the name uncultured eukaryote. RNAcentral describes it as "partial 18S ribosomal RNA". It matches the Rfam family "Eukaryotic small subunit ribosomal RNA", at positions 592 to 976 of the family's 1831-position model. The record is from RNAcentral.